RNAcentral lists this ribosomal RNA (330 nucleotides) under Triticum aestivum (bread wheat). Its description in RNAcentral is "partial small subunit ribosomal RNA". The record is from RNAcentral. Lineage: Eukaryota; Viridiplantae; Streptophyta; Magnoliopsida; Poales; Poaceae.
AUGGCUGCUAUGAAGUUCCUGAUAUUGAUAUUGAGGAUCUUCCUAGGGUCGGAACACAAGUCAAAGGUUUGUCUAUCUCUUUGUUUACAUAGAUUUUCCAUGAAUCCUGAGGCACACACUAUGCCACCACUGAAUUCUGAAAUCUAUUCUAAUGCCACCUUUCUUUUUAGUUAUUUACAGGAUGUCCAUAUUUUGCUGCACAAACCAUGCAUGGCAAAAGCAGCACAAUUGAUUUUCUGCCCAUAUAGCAACCUAAUUAGUCCAAUUGUCAGGAGAGCAAUGGACAUUGAUAUCAUUGGCUCAAUUGUUAUUCUUGAUGAAGCGCAGUAA